This 468-nucleotide ribosomal RNA is filed under the name uncultured bacterium. Its description in RNAcentral is "partial 16S ribosomal RNA". It matches the Rfam family "Bacterial small subunit ribosomal RNA", at positions 28 to 507 of the family's 1533-position model. The record is from RNAcentral.
GACGAACGCUGGCGGCGUGCUUAACACAUGCAAGUCGAACGGAAAGGCCCUGCUUUUGUGGGGUGCUCGAGUGGCGAACGGGUGAGUAACACGUGAGUAACCUGCCCUUGACUUUGGGAUAACUUCAGGAAACUGGGGCUAAUACCGGAUAGGAGCUCCUGCUGCAUGGUGGGGGUUGGAAAGUUUCGGCGGUUGGGGAUGGACUCGCGGCUUAUCAGCUUGUUGGUGGGGUAGUGGCUUACCAAGGCUUUGACGGGUAGCCGGCCUGAGAGGGUGACCGGCCACAUGGGGACUGCGAUACGGCCCAGACGCCUACGGGAGGCAGCAGUGGGGAAUAUUGCACAAUGGGGGGAAGCCUGAUGCAGCAACGCCGCGUGCGGGAUGACGGCCUUCGGGUUGUAAACCGCUUUCGCCUGUGACGAGGCGUGAGUGACGGUAAUGGGUAAAGAAGCACCGGCUAACUACGUG